Molecule: long non-coding RNA, 1307 nt
Filed under: Oryzias javanicus (javanese ricefish)
Lineage: Eukaryota; Metazoa; Chordata; Actinopteri; Beloniformes; Adrianichthyidae
Description: lncRNA (ENSOJAG00000019466.1)
Source: RNAcentral
UAUUGGUUUAUUUAAGACAUUUGAUGGUUGCUUAAUGCACAAAGGGACUUAAGUUCACAUUUUUAAUUACAUUAGAAAAAGAAUAUUAAGGCAGUCUUAAGUUAAAGGUGUGGUAACCUAAACCAACAUUAAGCUAUUCCUUCACCACAAAAUACUAAAGGCUAUAUCAGUACUUUAAAUCUUUAAGCUUAUACCUAAACCAAAGAUGUCAAGACUAGAUGUUUUGUCUGAAAAUGGUGAUGUGACAUUCAAGCUAAAUGAGCCACCAUCGCAAGCAGAAUGCACUGAAGAUGAUAUCCCCACUACCUCACAAGAUGCACAAAGGAGCCAAAGAGUCCGUAAGCUAACGGAAAAAGGGCAAGAGUUGCAUGAUGAGCAGGUAAAGAAGGCCACUCAUCGUUUCAGCGCGUGCUACGAGAAGUGGAGGGCUGUCAUUAAAGAGGCAAAGAAAGCUAUAGAUGAACAAUGCUCUAAAGAUCUUCUGGAUGAACACAUCACCAAGGUAACAAGUGCUGCAACCACUGUUUGUGCUGCAUAUGAUGAUUUAAGACGCACUGAUUCUCCUGAUAAUGACACAAGACGAAGGAUGGAUACUUGUGAUGCAGUAACGAGGACCAUCAUGGAAGCAGCUGAAAGGUCCCAAACAUUAAGAGAUAAAGACAGUCAAAGGGACGAAGAAGUUUGGAAAGACGUAGAGUCGCUGUUUAAGUCUGCUGCUUCCACAAGAUCAAGUGUCAAGUCUCACCACAGUCCAAGAACUUCUUCCAGAUGUUCAAGCCGGCACUCUAGUAAGAGACAAGAGGCAGCAGCUGAAGUUGCUGCAAAUGAAGCUGCCCUGCAAGUUCUGCUGGAGCAAGAAAAUAAAAUAAGGGAAAUAGAAAAACAAGAAGCAGAAAUUGCACUGAAACAAAGAGAGCUGGAAGCAAAGCGCAGAGAAGUGGAGCGGCUGGAGACAAUUAAAAAGCUUCAAGCUGCUAAAGCAAGACAACGGGUAUAUGAGCAGAGUGAAAGUUCAGAUGACGACAUUUGUGAUCUGCUCCACCAGCACAUAUCUGGUAAGAAAAAGAGGUUAAGUCAGAAAAGAAUAAUGUACCCAUCAGACCCGCUUUCAUUCCUCAAAAUGCGAAUCCCACUCAAGAAGUUAACACAAUGGAGCUGGUUAGAGUCUUCGCAGAAUCUCUCAAUGCGAGCCGUCUCCCAGUCCCCGAACCAACUAUUUUCAGUGGUGACCCACUAAGAUACAAUGACUGGAAGAUUUCAUUUCUGACUCUCAUUGACAGGAAGGGUAUACCAGCUGAAGAGAAGAC